GGGACUACACGGGUAUCUAAUCCUGUUUGCUCCCCACGCUUUCGCACCUCAGCGUCAGUACCGGGCCAGUGAGCCGCCUUCGCCACUGGUGUUCUUGCGAAUAUCUACGAAUUUCACCUCUACACUCGCAGUUCCACUCACCUCUCCCGGACUCGAGAUCCCCAGUAUCAAAGGCAGUUCCAGGGUUGAGCCCUGGGAUUUCACCUCUGACUUAAAGAUCCGCCUACGUGCGCUUUACGCCCAGUGAUUCCGAACAACGCUAGCCCCCUUCGUAUUACCGCGGCGGCUGGCACG
RNAcentral lists this unclassified non-coding RNA (294 nucleotides) under uncultured fungus. RNAcentral's name for it is "sequence contains ITS1". The record is from RNAcentral. Lineage: Eukaryota; Fungi.